CGAACGAUGAACCACUUCGGUGGGGAUUAGUGGCGAACGGGUGAGUAACACGUGGGCAAUCUGCCCUGCACUCUGGGACAAGCCCUGGAAACGGGGUCUAAUACCGGAUAUGACCAUCUUGGGCAUCCUUGAUGGUGUAAAGCUCCGGCGGUGCAGGAUGAGCCCGCGGCCUAUCAGCUUGUUGGUGAGGUAACGGCUCACCAAGGCGACGACGGGUAGCCGGCCUGAGAGGGCGACCGGCCACACUGGGACUGAGACACGGCCCAGACUCCUACGGGAGGCAGCAGUGGGGAAUAUUGCACAAUGGGCGCAAGCCUGAUGCAGCGACGCCGCGUGAGGGAUGACGGCCUUCGGGUUGUAAACCUCUUUCAGCAGGGAAGAAGCGAAAGUGACGGUACCUGCAGAAGAAGCGCCGGCUAACUACGUGCCAGCAGCCGCGGUAAUACGUAGGGCGCGAGCGUUGUCCGGAAUUAUUGGGCGUAAAGAGCUCGUAGGCGGCUUGUCACGUCGGUUGUGAAAGCCCGGGGCUUAACCCCGGGUCUGCAGUCGAUACGGGCAGGCUAGAGUUCGGUAGGGGAGAUCGGAAUUCCUGGUGUAGCGGUGAAAUGCGCAGAUAUCAGGAGGAACACCGGUGGCGAAGGCGGAUCUCUGGGCCGAUACUGACGCUGAGGAGCGAAAGCGUGGGGAGCGAACAGGAUUAGAUACCCUGGUAGUCCACGCCGUAAACGGUGGGCACUAGGUGUGGGCAACAUUCCACGUUGUCCGUGCCGCAGCUAACGCAUUAAGUGCCCCGCCUGGGGAGUAC
RNAcentral lists this ribosomal RNA (805 nucleotides) under Streptomyces sp. RNAcentral describes it as "bacterial SSU rRNA". It matches the Rfam family "Bacterial small subunit ribosomal RNA", at positions 63 to 883 of the family's 1533-position model. Lineage: Bacteria; Bacillati; Actinomycetota; Actinomycetes; Kitasatosporales; Streptomycetaceae. The record is from RNAcentral.